AUGUCGCUGCCCGUGUCGGUGGGGGUCUUGUUGGUGGGCCUCCCUUACUCCAUCUCUCUAGCUGCCCAGUGGCUUUACGGCUGGCCCAGCAAGCCGGGAUACAAGAAGUACAUAGAAGCUCUGAAACCACGACGAAUAUACUGUUUGACCAGAGCUGUGCUGGAGACUCUCAAAUACCUGCAAUAUGGGCGACUUUACUUUCAGUGGAAGUCAUGGUACAAGAAUGAGGAAAACCGCAAGCACUAUGAGAAGGGCAUCACAUUUGGCCGCAGAAGCAACAAGCUGGACUUGUACCACCCUCCAAACGUGGACGGGUCCAAAGGUGUGCCGGCGCCGCUGGUGGUGUUCAUCUACGGGGGAGCGUGGGGCUCCGGAGAUCGAUCCAUUUACUGUUUGCUGGCGAGGCAGAUGGCGAAAGAACUGAGUGCAACUGUCAUUUGUCCCGAUUACUUUGUCUAUCCGAAGGACAACAUAGUAUUAAUCGGCCAUUCGGCAGGUGCUCAUUUGUGCACAUUGGCCGCGCUGUUUCUCAUUGACGGACGAGAGGAGCUUUUCAUUGAGGCAAGCAAGCAGGCGGACGUCACAGAGGCCAUAAGAGGAGUCAUUGGUCUGAGUGGCGUGUACAACAUCGUGGACCAUUACGAGCACGAGCAGAAGCGGGGAGUCGAGUACGUCUCCACCAUGCACAAAGCCAUGAAUGGAGUGGAGAACUUCCCGUACUACUCGCCGACACACUUACUGAAGAGGCUGAGCCGGGACAAGCUGGACAGAAUCCCUCCGUUUGCUCUGCUCCACGGGACCGACGACAUCAUCGUCCCCUUCGAUUCCUCCGCAAAGUUCUGCGACCUCCUCACCUCGCUGUCCGUGAAGGUGUCGCUCUACCUGCUCCCCCGCGUCGACCACACCGAGAUCGUCACCGACCUCAUGGUGCCCGACCGCCGCUUCUACCACCCCAUCUACAGCUGCAUCAAGCAGGAGCACAGGAAGCUGCUGGGGGCCUGGUGACGACCCGUCAGGAGAACACCCACCACUCGUCCAUCCAUCACUCGUAUUUACUGAUUGUGCCAUAUACUUGCUUUGUUUACGUCCCAUGCUCUAAUACCUCAACAUGAAUCGUGUUUAGCAUGGAUUUUUACUAGAUUGUGAUUCCGUGAUCAUGAUGUUUUUGAACAGAUUUUAAUUUGGUAAAUCUAAGGGUUACAUGUCAGUGAUUUUUCAUCUACAUUCUUUAAAAAUAAUAUUCCUUGUGGAAUGCAGUGUAGAUAACAUCAUUCUAAUGUUGUGUUGGAGAGAUGUUAGCUAGCUCACAGUGAAGGGAAAUCAAUCCAUAAGUGUUAUAAAAAGGACAGUGAAGCAGACUGAUACAUGCCGUGCAGUGAUACUGAUAAAGGAGCACAGUUACGACAGUACUGACUGCAACAUUUUGUCUAAUUGACUUUGGUGUUUUUAUUCAAUUAAAUUGUAAUAUAUUUUCCUGAAAAAAUAUUUAUUCAUAGUAGACACAUUAAACUCAUUUGAAUUAAACUAAUAUGACUACAAAUUGCUUGCACAAUGGAAUAUUGUACUUAAAUGUUUUGCCCAGCAAAAGCACUUAAAGAUUGUUAAUUGUACAAUUUUACAUUGUUUUUACCAUGUGCUUGUACUUUUGUUUCGGAAAGUUUUGUAUCAGAAGCGUGUCCCAUACAUACCAUACAUUUAAAAUGUCAUCAGGUAAUGGUUGUUGAAAACAUAAAUAUACUUUGUUGCAAUGUAUAAAACUCCAUUAAACCAUAUAAUGUAAGAGAACAUGCACAUUAUGAUUCCAUUCCAUGCAGUCACUGCAUAUGAGCGCCUAAUGGAAGUGAAAAUGGCCAUGGGACAUGUAACCAAAUAUUAGCACUGCUCUAUGUACUGUAUAUUUUUGACCCAGCAGAUGUUGUCACUUUUUCUGUUAACCCAUAAUAAAGUCAUAAAAGAUCCAAGCUUCAUGAAUGUUAUUUGUGACAAAGAAGUAUCUGUUCACAGAAAAAUCUGACUUGUAGAAAUCAGUGAAAACUAACAAGAGAGCCGUGACAUUAUGUUCUUUAGAAGUGAAUGUAAACUUUUGACCACAACUGUACAUGUAUCUACAUACAUAUACAUUCAUUACAUAAAUUAAAGCUUUGUUCAUGGCUACAUUUUGCUGCAGGGACGGAAUUUAGAUUAUCGGGUAUUUUCCUUUAGGCAAUUAGAAGUAUCAGUGGUGCGCACAUUGUACUGAGCUGAGUUCACGUGACGUCAACCAUUGGUUUGUGGAAUGCUCUCAGGUUAGGCAUUCUGGCCAGCUUAGUUGUAUAUAUUUUAGGAAUAUAUAUAUAUAUUCCUAAAAUCAGGUGGAUGACAUUUUUGCCCAAGACCAGGUUGAAUCUUUACAAGGACAUUUACAUUUUUAAAAUGUAAUAUUACCUUUCAUUUCCUUUAUUUCUUUGUUAGAGCUCAAGGAGAAUAGUUGGGGCAACGGACCGGGUGGUUCACCACUGCCUUGAAUUGACCUGAAUCCUGGAGGGUUGAAUACAAAAAGUAAAAUAUAUCUGCAUGUCACAAGCAUGCAUCUAAUAUGUAAAAUCUAAAUACGGUUCAUAAAAACUCGUAGUUCUACCAAUUUCUCUAGCUUUUAUUUUGAAAGCUGAGUUUAACACGCUUUAUUUGAGAAGAAACUCGCACACGUGCGGGCGGGGCGGAGCUUUGCGAGGACUCGCGUCGGUCCAGUGCGCUUCAGGCGGCAGAGCUUCACAGCUAAAGAAGUGACAAACAUGU
Long non-coding RNA from Gasterosteus aculeatus (three-spined stickleback), 2775 nucleotides. Lineage: Eukaryota; Metazoa; Chordata; Actinopteri; Perciformes; Gasterosteidae. The record is from Ensembl.